Long non-coding RNA from Astatotilapia calliptera (eastern happy), 3049 nucleotides. Lineage: Eukaryota; Metazoa; Chordata; Actinopteri; Cichliformes; Cichlidae. The record is from Ensembl.
ACGAUAACGACGACAAGGGUCUCCCGAUCGUUUACUCUUGCUGUCCUGUGAACAACAACGGCGUGGUGUUACUUGUUUGCUGUUUUCGCGAUCGCGUCGCGCAUGAGGAUAUCACCAGGAGCUCCUGAAACGCAAGACUGCCACACAUCUGUUCGACCAACGCCAGUUGAUCUAAACGCCAGUUGAUCUGGAACACCGGCACGACUUUCUGGUGUUAUACACUGUCCUGGCGUUGCAGAUCUAGGGGUUCCAGUUAAGACGUGGUCAGCCUUCUAAAGAAAGUGGGAAUCUCACCGAAAUAUUCAGUUACUUUGCUGUGUUUCUUGCCAGGACAAAGGCUCAAACCAUCAUCUUUUCCUGGUAUCGAAUACCAAGGGACCUUCUGAAGUAAGCUUUAACAAGUAAGCUUGAAUUGAGUAAUUCAGAAUCAUGAAUCAUGCUGACUGCAAAUGAAAAGUAUGAAUUGACAUGAAGGAUUUUCAGGAGCCGAUUUAGACUUGGGACUACAUUACGACAAAGCACUGCUGUAAGCCUCCACAUGGUUAUAACACAGCAGUUGAAGCCACUGCCGACCAGUGUCUAUAAACCAACAUGCUAUUUGUGCAAUAUUUCUUCAACAAAUCAAAGACCCAUCCAUUGUUACUGCAGCUUACUAUGCUUGUAUAGUAGUGGCUGUGUGUGUUUGUUUAUGGAAGCUGGAGGCUUUUUCAACUGUUGCGUUAUAUCCAUGCACCAUGCAGUGGAUGUUUACAGCGGUGUUUGUCGUAACUGCAAUGUAGUCUCAAGUCUAAAUCAGCUUCUGCAAAUCUUCCGUGUUACUUUUGCACUUUUCAUUUGCCGUGAACAUGAUUACUGAGCUCCCAAGAAAUAUUUGUUUUCAUUACUGAGUCAUUUUAAUCACUUUUGCACACAACAUGCUAGCACCUGCUAUUCACUUACAUUGUUUAUGCUCUGCUAAAGCAAAUGGAUUGCUUCCGGAUCAGGAGAAUUAGUGUGCUGUUUACAAAAGGCUUGUUUCUCACUUUCUAACUGUGACAAUAUGGCAAUAGAUAAAAUUUCACUUAGAAGUGGAAUAACCCUUAAAAAUGAUUUAUUAGAUUUUCUUUUCAAAGUGGAAAAACAAAACUGUGAAAAACAAGACAUUUUUUAUUUUAAACGUUGGAUUAUGGUUUAAUUUAGCUUUUAAAAAUUACAGAAUGACAAAGUAAAAUCACUGAAAAACACAAAAGACAACCUGUUUUAGCUUAUUUUCCUACCUGUAGUAGUUCAUUCCCUUAUGCACGUCAUCCUGAAGUGCUUGAGCUAUGUAUUUUAUACAUCCUAACAUUUUAUUUCUCCUACAAGGAUGAGGAGGAGCUCAACGCAGACCUUGCAAUGCAAAUCAUGAAGAUUGCUAUCAUUGGUGAUGGGCCUGCAACCAUCAUCGUUGAGGGAUCCAAGAUCCUGGAGAGGAUUGAUGUUGCCAGAUCCUGUGCUUUGAUGAUGGGAGUAAUCUACGCUCUGAACCUUACCUAUCCCAAGCAGCUGAAAUUUACCUUUGAGGUAUUUCAAAAGCUAUGCCUUGAGCUUGAUGGACAAAAAGCCAGCUCUAAAGUAAUGAAUCUUAAGUUUGGUAUUUUCUAAGGCAGACUUGAUAGACCAUUCGUGAGUGAGUUUCACAAAAACCUUAUUCCUGCAUUUCUGGCACUACAUCAAUGUGUUUUACUAAAUUUUAAAGUGCUGUUCUUAAGUCUUCUGAGUUAAUGUUUUGCCGUGUCUUAAAUGCUGUUAUUUGCACAUUUUUAAGGAAUGCGUUUAAUUUCUCCCAUGACCUGUGUUCUGAGGGUACUGGUGUGUUUUAAAGUUUGUGUAAUGCCCUCUUUAGCUGGCCUUAAUCUUGAGGGUGAAAAGUCAAAUAUAGAAGAGAAUCAAGAAUACUUUGUAAGAGUGCUGACAAAGUUGAAUGAAAGAAGCUUUGCUCAUUUUAUGUUUAAAUUAGUGCAUUUAAUGUCUGCCUGUCAUCUUUUGUUUUGAUUCACUGUCACAUGUUAAAGUAAAAAAAAAAAAGAGGAUUCAAGUAGUAGCUUGUAUUACAAUUUUAAUACACAGUUCCUUAAGUUUCAGCGGGCAAUUUGUGUUCUAGGAAACGGAAGCCCACAAAUCUUGCACUUCACACGCACGUUAAAGAAUUGUGAUGUUUGUUAUUGUAAUUAAAUGGGUCUAACUCAUUUGAAUACAUCUGUCUGAAUUUCUAUUCUUUCUGAGCACCAGGUACGAGUCCCUUAGCUGAUGUCCAGGUAUUUGGCAUCACAUCUGCCGCAUUCAAACAAAUACACACAACAUCCAUUUCUUUUUCUGAAGGUCAUGACACAAGAGCACACACAGCGCAUGUUAAGGCUGACCUUCGUUUGGGGAAAAAAGUGAUCGACAAGUUUCUAAGGUCUUAGAACCUUGACUUCUUUGUGGGCAGGCACCACCAUGCAUGAGCCUGCCCACGCGGUAGUCAUGGUUAUAAGACACAGCUUUUGAUCAAGGUUGUAUUUUGGAGCGACUUAGCCUGCUGGGAAACAGGUAAAUGCCCUUAUAGAAUCUCCUGUAGGACCAAAAAAUUACUACACUGUAACCAAAAUAUCAUAUUUGACCAACAUAAAUACUAUUUAUGCCGACAGUUAAGUUCAUUUUAAUUAUAAAUGUGUUUUAUUUUGAUCAAAAAGUUACUUCACCAUACAUAAAUAUAAUCUUGGAUCAACUUAAAUUCCUGUGUAUUUGUUGACAAUUAUUAAGUUCAUGUUACUCAGAAUGUGUUUUUUUUUGUGGCCAAAAAGUAACUUCACUAUACAUAAAAUUCACGUUGGAUCAACUUAAAUUUUUGUGUUCUAGUCGAAAAUUAUUAAGUUAAUUUUACUUAAGAAUGUUUUUAAUUGUGGCCAAAAAAGCUACUUCACCAUACUCAAAAAUAUUGCUUUGAAUUAAUGCUAUUCUGCCAGAAGUUGGCUUAACUCAAAAAUUCUAGUGGAAAACGUUAACAUGCUUUUUUUAUUUGAACCAAUGUUUUAUUUAUUAGAGUGUA